This 79-nucleotide transfer RNA is filed under the name Thermoprotei archaeon. RNAcentral's name for it is "tRNA-Cys". It matches the Rfam family "tRNA". Rfam says of the family: Transfer RNA (tRNA) molecules are approximately 80 nucleotides in length. Their secondary structure includes four short double-helical elements and three loops (D, anti-codon, and T loops). The record is from RNAcentral. Lineage: Archaea; Thermoproteati; Thermoproteota; Thermoprotei.
GCGGCCGUAGUCUAGCCUGGACUAGGACGCCGGCCUGCAACGCCGGAGGACCCGGGUUCGAAUCCCGGCGGCCGCACCA